Molecule: ribosomal RNA, 497 nt
Filed under: uncultured bacterium
Lineage: Bacteria
Description: partial 16S ribosomal RNA
Rfam family: Bacterial small subunit ribosomal RNA
Source: RNAcentral
GAUGAACGCUGGCGGCGUGCCUAAUACAUGCAAGUCGAGCGAACAGACGAGGAGCUUGCUCCUCUGACGUUAGCGGCGGACGGGUGAGUAACACGUGGAUAACCUACCUAUAAGACUGGGAUAACUUCGGGAAACCGGAGCUAAUACCGGAUAAUAUAUUGAACCGCAUGGUUCAAUAGUGAAAGACGGUUUUGCUGUCACUUAUAGAUGGAUCCGCGCCGCAUUGGCUAGUUGGUAAGGUAACGGCUUACCACGGCAACGAUGCGUAGCCGACGUGAGAGGGUGAUCGGCCACACUGGAGCGUAGACACGGUCCAGACUCCUACGGGAGGCAGCAGUAGGGAAUCUUCCGCAAUGGGCGAAAGCUUGACGGAGCAACGCCGCGUGAGUGAUGAAGGUCUUCGGAUCGUAAAACUCUGUUAUUAGGGAAGAACAAAUGUGUAAGUAACUAUGCACGUCUUGACGGUACCUAAUCAGAAAGCCACGGCUAACUACGUG